CCUACGGGCGGCAGCAGUCGAGAAUCAUUCACAAUGGGGGAAACCCUGAUGGUGCGACGCCGCGUGGGGGAAUGAAGGUCUUCGGGUUGUAAACCCCUGUCAUGUGGGAGCAAAUGACAAAGAUAGUACCACAAGAGGAUGAGACGGCUAACUCUGUGCCAGCAGCCGAGGUAAUAACGAGGGCUCAAGCGUUGUUCGGAAUCACUGGGCGUAAGGCGUGCGUUGGCAGGUUCGUAAGUAGGGUGGGAAAGGCGCGGGCUCAAACCGCGGCCGGCCCAUGAUACUGCGGGACUAGAGUGAUGGAGGGGGAACCGGAAUUCUCGGUGUAGCAGUGAAAUGCGUAGAUAUCGCGCGGAACACUCGUGGCGAAGGCGGGUUCCUGGACAUUAACUGACGCUGAGGCACGAAGGCCAGGGGAGCGAACGGGAUUAGAUACCCUGGUAGUC
RNAcentral lists this ribosomal RNA (446 nucleotides) under uncultured bacterium. Its description in RNAcentral is "partial 16S ribosomal RNA". It matches the Rfam family "Bacterial small subunit ribosomal RNA", at positions 338 to 795 of the family's 1533-position model. The record is from RNAcentral.